GAAAAAAAGAGGUCUUUUACGGUGCACAAUACUAAUAUAUACCACUGUUCGAAAAGGACUCGUAUGUAAGGAUCUGACGGUUGAGAUUAAUUCUAUACUAUUAAAAUCUUAAACUGUAGUAUAAGUAGUAUACAUGAGUAGUAUGAGUAGUAUAGGGGUAUAAUUGGAAAGAUCUAAAAUGGCAUUGUUGAAAUAGAUCAAUUCUUUCUUAAUUAUCAUCUUCUUUCCUUUUUAUUCUCUUCUCAUUUCAAUCGGUCGCUAGGGUUCAUCAUUUCCGGUCGCUAGGGUUGCACAGGGGCGGCGGCGGGCGGCGGCGCCGACUCCGGCGGGUGGCGGUGACUCCGCGGUGGAGGAGAUGCUCGCCUCGCUGCUGCUCCACGGCGGCGCGGGCUUCAGCGCUUGGAGAUCUGGCGGCGCCGCGGCGAAACGCGCGUCCCAUUCCGAGGAGGGGCGGCGGCGGGCGGAGGCGCCGACUCCGGCGGGCGACGGCGACUACGCGGUGGAGGAGAUGCUCGCCGCGCUACUGCUCCACGGCAGCAUGGGCUUCGGCGUUUGGAGAUCUGACGGCGCCACGGCGAAGCGCGCGUCCCAUUCCGAGGAGGCCGCCGGCGCGGAGGCGCGCACUGUGUGCGUCACCGGUGGCAGCGUCUAGAUGAUGCGUGCAGUUUCCGGGCAUCUGCUCUGCGGUGGCACCCUGACAAGCACCCGGGGUCUUCUCAGGCCGUGGCCGAGGAGAAGUUUAAUGCUCUGCGUGAACGCGUACAAUUCACUCUGCAGCGUCCUCAAGGCGUCUUAAUUAGUGCCCCGCUAUUUAUCACACACAAACGAUUGCUGCAAUUGCUUGAGGAUGUUUACUUUGUAGCAGUGUCGUUUGUGCAAGGCUCAGGAGUUGAAAUCCUCUCUCCAGUUGAAAUACUCGGAGGGAGGAGGAGCCACUCAUUGGAUGCAGCCAGUGGCUGCUGCUUUGUUUCAGUUUUUCAUUUGGGAUGCUCACAUUUGUGCCAAGAGGAAAGAAGCUCCGACAUGGAAGGAUAUGAGGAGGAGGCAGUGUUGUAACUUUUACUUGUAACACUAGUGUCAAAUGUAAUAACAGUUGAUUCUUCCUUCAUUUGUUUUAUCAAAUUCAGUUACCCAGAAAGGGGGAAUGAAUAAAAGAAAAACAUGCCAGACGAUCUGCAAA
This is a long non-coding RNA of Setaria italica (foxtail millet), 1180 nucleotides long. RefSeq lists it as uncharacterized. The record is from RefSeq and is a predicted model, not a curated record. Lineage: Eukaryota; Viridiplantae; Streptophyta; Magnoliopsida; Poales; Poaceae. The transcript is spliced from 2 exons.